This 4145-nucleotide long non-coding RNA is filed under the name Equus caballus (horse). RNAcentral's name for it is "lncRNA (ENSECAG00000056172.1)". The record is from RNAcentral. Lineage: Eukaryota; Metazoa; Chordata; Mammalia; Perissodactyla; Equidae.
GGACGGCUGCAAGGCCCCGGCGUCUCAUUCCCUCCUUCUGUUUCCUUUGGAGCAUGAGUCCCCUACCUUUUCAGCCCCCAACAAGCCCCGCGUCCCCCCCUCUACGUCACAAGGCCAGGCCCCCUUCUGAGGACAGUGCCCCGAAGAGUUGAUUCCCCCGGCACCUCCCGCUCCCUCUCAAAGCACCGCCUGUUCUGCGGGUCUGCCCCCAGGCGGGCAUAAACACCCCCAGCGAGGAAUGGCCCCAGGCAGCACUGGAGCCCUCCGCUCCCUCCACCACCGGGUCUGUCCCAGCUAGAGGGAGGGGAGAGGGAGAGGGGGCUUCCCUCUGGCUCAGAAUCGUCCACCCUGAGUAAUUAGCUGCCAAAUAAAACGCAAACUCGCCAAAGGAGAUCAGAGGUCCCCCCACAGCUUCUCCAAACUCCUCCUGCCCCAGAGGCUGCUGGGAGGGCCAGAAACCCCAGGAGGCCAGAAAGCCACCUGCUGGGGCACAGGGUCUCUUUUCAGAUCGGAAGCUAAAACCCUCCUUUCAAGCCCUCCCCUGUCAGGCCUGCCGAGCCAGCCCACACCUUCUCUCUCAGGGCUGGCACUCUGGCCCCUCGCCCACCCGCUCCUCAGCCUAGGAAUGGAAAAUGGGUUUGGCAGACACCACUGGUCGCCUGCCGGUGUCCCUUUUCCUCUUGUCUGAUACUGUUCAGGCUGACUCUUGGUGGCCCCAUGGCCCAUGCCCCUGAUUUGUUUAGGGGGAGUGGGAAGUGCGGUCCAGCACAGCCAAGGACACAGGAAGGGAGGAGCAAGGAAGUUAGCAACAGAAGGAGAGAAGGAGAACAGAAGGCAUGCUGGGCAAAUCUUUCAGUCUCUCCCUGCCUCAACCUCCCCACCUGUAACAUGGGAAAUACAAGGUCCCUCUCCCAGAGCUGUUGGUGAGAUCAUGGAUGUGAAUGCAUUUGGGGAGUCUGAGCAUAGACUGCUGGUUGUCCCCCAAUAUCCAUUCUCCCCUCCUCUCACCUUUAAUAAGGCCCAUGGCUGCCUGGAAUCGAGACUCUCUUCCCAGCCUCCCUGGGGGCCAUUUUAGCCACGUGACUCAAUUCUGACUGUGAGCUGUAAGCACAAGUAAAGGACCCCCGGGGCUCCCCUUCCACCACCUGGGGAGACAGAGUGCCACAGCGCGCCAGUGGCCACAUAGUGGCCAUCUGUGUUCCGGCAGCCCUGCACCUGUGCACCCUUCUCAGCACCAACACCACCCAACUUUCCCCUGGGAAUCCCCACCCUCCCUUCAGCCCAGGGCUUCAAAGGCAGCUGACUCCACCCCAGGUCCAGGGACACCACGUGCCUCAGACCUGGCCAAAGUGCCUGUAUUCCCCCAGCCAUUCUGAUUGGUCGGGGAGACCAUGUGAUCCAGGGAGACCCAGUGCCGAGUCUGUCAGAGGAGAGCAGACUUUCUUUUCCAUGAAUUGAACCUGGGAGGAUGUAACCCUGAGGCUGCUCAAAGCCGUUUUGCUACCAGAUGGAGCCUCAGGAUGAAGCAGAAACGGGAAGAGCCAAGAGACAGGCCUCCCGGUCCCAGCUGGAUCCUGUCCUGAGGCUCAUUGCCCCUCACGUUUAUAGAUAUCAGUACAUUUCUUCUCCCGUCACCACCCAGAACUCCUUGCUUGUGCACAUUCUGGUCUCUCGAACUAGGACACCAUUUCUUCCCCAGCUGGGAAGGUCUCCCCCUCCAGCGUCUUAAGGCCAGCUUACACCGCCCCUCCCCUGAGGAGGCCGCUCUCAUCCUCUGCCCUGGUUGAGCAUAGGACACCUGCAACAAACCAUUUCCACGUCUGCUCCACCGCCAGCAUAGGAGUUUCUCAAGGAUAAGACCUGCGUCUCCUUUAACUCUGUGUCUAGCACCCAGCAUCCAGUAGGCACUCACUACAUGUUAGUUGAAUAAAUAAAUGAAUGACUGCAGAGGAGCAAGCUAAUCGUUCAUCAAGUUUAUGGAUGACAUGAAAUUGGGAGCGGUUUCUAGCCAGAGGUUGGAAUCGUAAAGCAGAUUGGCUUUUGCAAAUGAGAAUAUGACAAGGCUGAAUCGGAACCGGAUGACGUUCAUUAAGUAACUAGUUUGAAGAAGUCGCUGCAAGUCUGAGAGCUGGGGUGUGAUGGUUUCUGCGCAUAUUCUAAGGCAAGCUGUGGGUGGCAGACUGGAUGGAGCAAAGAAGCUGGCCAUCAAGGGCUGGUCUCCCCUUUGAGGUCAGUUUGUGGGCUUGUGACAAACAAGACCCAGGAAAGUCCUUCUGUCUCCAGAAAGGCGCUUCUAGCACUGUAUUUGGGGAGAUGCAGGGAAGCAAGAAAAAACAUUUAAAAUAGUGAAAGGAAAGACAAAUUGGAUUUCUGAAGUCGCGUUACAGAGACUGGGGUUGCUGCAUCUGGAAGGAAAAGAGAGAGAAAACCGUUUCCCAACUGUGCUUUAAUGAGCGGCAGCUCCCCAGAGUGAGACGGUGCCCCAGAGGGGAGGGACGGGCGAGGAGACUGUGGCAGUCCGCCCUGCCCCCACCGCAGCCUCGGGAGUUGCCGCCACCCCUGCUGUUUACGCUUUUAUCGUUUGCAAUGAAGGACGAUGAUGUGUGUGUGCGCUGUAUUGAUUGUGCCUCUUAGAUUUUUAUGUCACUGUGGAAAGCAGCAAUUAUGCUUGCCAGCUCUGGAGGGAGCAAACGGCCCUGGCGGGGGAGGACGGCGCAGGGCCGGGAGAGCUCACGAGGCAGCCGGAGGGGUCCAGCUCGGGGGCUGGGGGCACGAGGCAGGUAGCACAGGGGCACGGGCUGAUUGAGACUGAGAAAGGACGGGAGUCCCACUAAGGGGAUGCACCAUCCACCCUAGGCUAUAGACAUUUAUUAAGUACCUAUGGUGUGCCAGCAACUCAAGUCAUUGUCCCACACUCCUCUGAGAGCCCUCCAGUGGCUUCUCUUUUGCAUUUACAAUAAAUCCAUCCUGCUUACCAAGACUGACCCCAGCACACCCCUCCAGAAUCACCUCCAUCCUCUCCUUUCCUCAAUCCCAGCUGUCCAGCCAUCUGGCCUUCUUCCUGGUCUGCCCACUCACCGAGCUUGGCCCUGCCUCAAGGCCUUUGCCCUUGCUAUUCCCUCUGCCCGGAAUGCUAUUCCCCACACUCACCCAUGUCAUUUUCUUCCCAUUCAAGUCUCAGCUCAGGUAUCACUUCCCCACAGAGUCCCGUCAUGAGGAUCCCAGGACAUGUUCACACCAGUCCCUCUGUCACACUGCCUUCUUUUCUUUUCUUCAUGGCACUUUUCAUGCUCAGAUAUAUUCUUGUCUUUUUAUGGGUUCAGUGUCUGUCUCUCCCACCAAAAUGUAAAUGCAAAAAGACGAGGGAGCUUAUCUCUUCUUGACCACUGUGCCGCCAGCACCUAGAGGAGUUCUUGGCACAUGACAUGAGUGUAAUGAAUGUCGAUAAAUAUUGUUAGCUCCAGUUACCAGUAGAGGAAAAUGAGGCUUAGAGAGUUUAUUAAUUAGGACUGUGUUUGACUGUAAGUAACAGAAUAUCCAACAAAUACGCAGAGGUGGGUAAUUGCUGACACUGGUCCAGUUGCUCAGUGAUGUCCUCAUAGGCUGUGGAACUUCCUGUCUUCUGCCCGGUUCUUCUUAGGCCAUUACUCUUAGCUUGCCCCUCAUGGUCACAAAGUAGCUGCUGCUGCUCCUAACAUAAUUUGGCAUUCAAAGUAGGAAAGAGAGGAGAAGGCAAAAUUCUGAUCCAGCCAAGUACAUCUUCCUGUUUAUUGCACCUUUUCCGUUUCCUGAAUGCCCCUCAGUAGGAUUCUCCUUCCAGCUCAUUGGCCUGAUCUGUGUCACUUGCUGCAAGAGAUAUUGGGAAACUGAGCUUUCUGGGGUCCAUAAUAGAGGAAGGCAAAGGAGAGGUGGGUUGGACAGGAGUGUUAAGUGAGCUAGCCUCAGUGAUGGCCACAGAGAGGUGAGGAGAAUUGCUCAUGGCCACCACUACAAACAGCAGCACCGGGAUUUGAGCCCACAUCUGUCUGACCACAGAGUCCACACCCUAUUUGUCACACUCUUGUGCUUCCCUCCUGGCAUCUGGGUCAGAGAGUAAAGGCACGAGAGCAGAUUCCAGAAGUGCCAUCAGGUCUUUAGCCUAGCAC